CUUGCCUGAUUUAACACAAACAACUCGGUCCAAGAGUUGUUUUGAACCUAUCAGAUGUCCCUCUGGGUCAAGAAGCCUCCACAUUUCUAAGGCAUAAUCUCUUUCAGCCAUAGUACAAACAUAAACUUCAAAUCGUUUGCGUCCUUUUGCAAUUAAAUAACUUCUUAAAUCCUCCCAUGCAGGUCGUAACCUCACAAGCACACUGGUAUCACGAUUCUACAUAAAAAACAGCCACAACAAUCAGAUAAUGCAAACAAUGUUAAAUUUCACAGAACUCAAAUUUUUUUAAGGAUGAACUUCACUUCCUCGUUUUCUAAACAGUUCCCCAAAAUCAUUGAAAAGCAAAAGCUACUCCAGAUUACUGAACGUUGUGCUUAAAAACAGGAAAUUAGAACAGCAACUGUGGUUAGAGCAACCUUUCUCACACCUAUAUCUGCCCACAAGAACUCUUUCAUACACAUGCACGUCCCUAACUGAUCACAGUACUUCCAAGAUCUUUUUAAUUCAAGCAUGGCAAAAUAUAUCCUUGAAUCAUAAGACAUAUGAGAGAUGUGCAUAAGCAAGCAUGCAGUGAGCAACAUCCAUCAUUGCACAACUUAAGGAUAUCCAAUUUCUAUCCUCUUAUUAUACAAACAUAUAAUUGGUAAACAAAUCACUAGUCAACGAACUUAUGUUUCAUUAAUCCACACAAUCCAAAUAAAUCAUAGAAACUGCACAACAGAAUAAACUUGUGAAGACAAACUCUGUACCUCUGCUUGAGGGGCAUAAUAUGGAGUGAAAGCUGGAACUACAUGAACUCUAGGCUGGUCCUUAUCUUCCCAAACCUUACAACGGUCAUCAAUAACCAUUGCCAUCUUUGGAUGGCACAAACCACGUUGAAAGACAUUUAGCAAAGAUUUCCUGGAACCUGCUAAGUUGAAAAUAAUAGAAGGGUUUAACAGUUGACAUUAAUUACAAUGUACCAGAAGCACAAACAAAGUAACAUAUCUUCAAACUCUAUGUUGAUUAAUAACUAUUAAAUGGAACUCCAAUUUCUAUCACCAGCAGUGACUUCAAUUUAAUAGAACUAUUGAUCAUGAGUAUGCUAAUGGUAAACUAAAAAAAUCUGCAACUUAGCUCCAAGAAAGCACCUAGAAUAACAGGGAAUGAUAGAAUAACUUCCAAAAAUAGCAUGUUCCAAAGAGAUAAUGCAUCAAGAUCCAACCAAGGAAUUAAAGCCAAAAUGUGCUGGGAAUGCUUGCCUGAUUUAACACAAACAACUCGGUCCAAGAGUUGUUUUGAACCUAUCAGAUGUCCCUCUGGGUCAAGAAGCCUCCACAUUUCUAAGGCAUAAUCUCUUUCAGCCAUAGUACAAACAUAAACUUCAAAUCGUUUGCGUCCUUUUGCAAUUAAAUAACUUCUUAAAUCCUCCCAUGCAGGUCGUAACCUCACAAGCACACUGGUAUCACGAUU
RNAcentral lists this long non-coding RNA (1452 nucleotides) under Citrus sinensis (sweet orange). Its description in RNAcentral is "long non-coding RNA (CSIN_LNC002583)". Lineage: Eukaryota; Viridiplantae; Streptophyta; Magnoliopsida; Sapindales; Rutaceae. The record is from RNAcentral.